GAUGAACGCUGACAGAAUGCUUAACACAUGCAAGUCUUUGGCGAAGCUGUGCUUGCACAGCCUAGCCAAGGCGGACGGGUGAGUAACGCGUAAGGAACUUGCCCUGCAGUCAGGGAUAACAGACGGAAACGACUGAUAAGACCUGGUAAAGUCAGGCGGACUCAUGUCCUGCCUGAUGAAAAGAGAUGCUGCAGGAGAGCCUUGCGUCCUAUUAGCUUGUUGGUGGGGUAACGGCCCACCAAGGCGAUGAUAGGUAGCCGGCCUGAGAGGGUGGACGGCCACAGGGGGACUGAGAUACGGCCCUUACUCCUACGGGAGGCAGCAGUGGGGAAUAUUGGACAAUGGGGGCAACCCUGAUCCAGCAAUUCUGUGUGCACGAUGAAGGUUUUCGGAUUGUAAAGUGCUUUCAGCAGGGAAGAAAAAAAUGACGGUACCUGCAGAAGAAGCGACGGCUAAAUACGUG
This 463-nucleotide ribosomal RNA is filed under the name uncultured bacterium. RNAcentral's name for it is "partial 16S ribosomal RNA". It matches the Rfam family "Bacterial small subunit ribosomal RNA", at positions 28 to 507 of the family's 1533-position model. The record is from RNAcentral.